GUGGAAAAACCACAGCACAUAUACUAAAAUUGGAACGAUACAGAGAAGAUUAGCAUGGCCCCUGUGCAAGGAUGACACACAAAUUUGUGAAGCGUUCCAUAUUUUU
This 106-nucleotide small nuclear RNA is filed under the name Bos taurus (domestic cattle). RNAcentral also lists the same sequence under 1 other name. The record is from RNAcentral. Lineage: Eukaryota; Metazoa; Chordata; Mammalia; Artiodactyla; Bovidae.